RNAcentral lists this ribosomal RNA (447 nucleotides) under uncultured bacterium. Its description in RNAcentral is "partial 16S ribosomal RNA". It matches the Rfam family "Bacterial small subunit ribosomal RNA", at positions 29 to 523 of the family's 1533-position model. The record is from RNAcentral.
AGCGAACGCUGGCGGCAGGCUUAACGCAUGCAAGUCGAACGCCCCGCAAGGGGAGUGGCAGACGGGUGAGUAACACGUGGGAACGUACCCUUUGGUUCGGAAUAACUUGGGGAAACUCAAGCUAAUACCGGAUAAGCCCUUAUGGGGAAAGGUUUGCUGACGAAGGAGCGGCCCGCGUCGGAUUAGCUAGUUGGUGAGGUAAGGGCUAACCAAGGCGACGAUCAGUAGCUGGUCUGAGAGGAUGAUCAGCCACACUGGGACUGAGACACGGCCCAGACUCCUACGGGAGGCAGCAGUGGGGAAUAUUGGACAAUGGGGGCAACCCUGAUCCAGCCAUGCCGCGUGAGUGAUGAAGGCCUUAGGGUUGUAAAGCUCUUUUACCCGGGACGAUAAUGACUGUACCGGGAGAAUAAGCCCCGGCUAACUUCGUGCCAGCAGCCGCGGUAA